CCUACGGGUGGCAGCAGUAGGGAAUUUUCGGCAAUGGGGGGAACCCUGACCGAGCAACGCCGCGUGAGUGAAGAAGUCAUUCGUUAUGUAAAGCUCUAUCAGCAGGGAAGAGAAUGACGGUACCUGAGUAAGAAGCCCCGGCUAACUACGUGCCAGCAGCCGCGGUAAUACGUAGGGGGCAAGCGUUAUCCGGAUUUACUGGGUGUAAAGGGAGCGUAGACGGGAGUGCAAGUCUGGAGUGAAAGGCGGGGGCUCAACCCCCGGACUGCUCUGGAAACUGUACGGCUGGAGUGCAGGAGAGGUAAGUGGAAUUCCUAGGGUAGCGGUGAAAUGCGUAGAUAUGAGGAGGAACACCAGUGGCGAAGGCGGCUUACUGGACUGUAACUGACGGUGAGGCUCGAAAGCGUGGGGAGCAAACAGGAUUAGAUACCCGUGUAGUC
RNAcentral lists this ribosomal RNA (440 nucleotides) under uncultured bacterium. RNAcentral describes it as "partial 16S ribosomal RNA". It matches the Rfam family "Bacterial small subunit ribosomal RNA", at positions 338 to 795 of the family's 1533-position model. The record is from RNAcentral.